This 1174-nucleotide ribosomal RNA is filed under the name metagenome. RNAcentral describes it as "SSU rRNA". It matches the Rfam family "Eukaryotic small subunit ribosomal RNA", at positions 542 to 1774 of the family's 1831-position model. The record is from RNAcentral.
AAUCAAGUGGAGGACAAGUCUGGUGCCAGCACCCGCGGUAAUUCCAGCUCCACUAGCGUAUAUUAAAGUUGUUGCAGUUAAAAAGCUCGUAGUUGAACCUCUGUCUGGGGCUAGUUUUGGCUUUGGUCAGGCUAGUUCUAGGCAUCCGCCUACAAGACUUAGAGGGCAUUCAGUUGUUCACUAGGAGGAGUAGGCAUUUUACUUUGAAAAAAUUAGAGUGUUUAAGGCAGGCAAUCGCCCGCAUAUAUUAGCAUGGAAUAAUAGAAUAGGACACUUUUCCAUUUCGUUGGUUAUUGGAAUCGUGUAAUGAUUAAUAGGGACAGUUGUGGGCAUUUGUAUUUAAUUGUCAGAGGUGAAAUUCUUGGAUUUAUUAAAGACAAACUAACGCGAAAGCAUUUGCCAAGGAUGUUUUCAUUAAUCAAGAACGAAAGUUAGGGGAUCAAAGACGAUCAGAUACCGUCCUAGUCUUAACUAUAAACUAUUCCGACUCAAUGUUUGACUGGCUUAUAUAACCAGUUGAGCGUUGUAUGAGAAAUCUAAGUCUUUAGGUUCUGGGGGGAGUAUGGUUGCAAAGCUGAAACUUAAAGGAAUUGACGGAAGAGCACAACCAGGAGUGGAUUCUGCGGCUUAAUUUGACACAACACGGGGAAACUUACCAGGUUAAAACAAUAGUGGGAUUGACAGUUUGAGAGCGCUUUCUUGAUUGGUUGGGUGGUGGUGCAUGGCCGUUCUUAGUUGGUGGAGUGAUUCGUCUGCUUAAUUGCGUUAACGAACGAGACCUUAACCUGCUUACUAGACUGGCGAUCAUCAAUCGUUAGCUCUUCUUAGAGGGACUUUGGUUGUUUUAACUCCAAGGAAGUUUGAGGCAAUAACAGGUCUGUGAUGCCCUUAGAUAUCCUGGGCCGCACGCGUCAUACAAUGACUAGUUCAGAAAGUUUUCUCCUGACCCGAAAGGGGAUGGGUAAUCUUGAUAAUACUAGUCGUGUUAGGGAUCGAUCUUUGCAAUUAUAGAUCUUGAACGAGGAAUUCCUAGUAAGUGCGGUUCAUCAGACCGUACUGAUUACGUCCCUGCUCUUUGUACACACCGCCCGUCGCUUCUACCGAGUGGGUGGUCCGGUGAGAUAAUUGAACUUCGCAGGUAACUGAGAGGAAAGAUUAUCAAACCUAUCCACCU